This 229-nucleotide long non-coding RNA is filed under the name Carica papaya (papaya). RNAcentral describes it as "long non-coding RNA (CPAP_LNC011690)". Lineage: Eukaryota; Viridiplantae; Streptophyta; Magnoliopsida; Brassicales; Caricaceae. The record is from RNAcentral.
UAAUAAAAUAAUUUCUUGUUUGGUAGAUUCUUUUGGCUUGUUAGGUUUGAAUGCAAAGAUAAUUGUUCAUUGAUGCACGUGGAUGGUUUGUGAUUGAUAAGACGUACAGUCUUCUUGAUGUCAUGUUUUUUCGUACUUGAAAUAAGCCAAAGAAGGAAAAAAGACGAUAAAGAUUAGUACUCGGAAUGGAAUGUUACGAGUAUUAUUAUUGAUAUGGACGCACGUAGAU